This 253-nucleotide ribosomal RNA is filed under the name uncultured bacterium. RNAcentral describes it as "partial 16S ribosomal RNA". It matches the Rfam family "Bacterial small subunit ribosomal RNA", at positions 524 to 776 of the family's 1533-position model. The record is from RNAcentral.
UACGAAGGGGGCUAGCGUUGCUCGGAAUUAUUGGGCGUAAAGAGCUCGUAGGCGGUUUGUCGCGUCUGCCGUGAAAGUCCGGGGCUCAACUCCGGAUCUGCGGUGGGUACGGGCAGACUAGAGUGAUGUAGGGGAGACUGGAAUUCCUGGUGUAGCGGUGAAAUGCGCAGAUAUCAGGAGGAACACCGAUGGCGAAGGCAGGUCUCUGGGCAUUAACUGACGCUGAGGAGCGAAAGCAUGGGGAGCGAACAGG